Molecule: ribosomal RNA, 406 nt
Filed under: uncultured bacterium
Lineage: Bacteria
Description: partial 16S ribosomal RNA
Rfam family: Bacterial small subunit ribosomal RNA
Source: RNAcentral
AUUGAACGCUGGCGGCAGGCCUAACACAUGCAAGUCGAACGAGUGGCGGACGGGUGAGUUAUGUCUGGGAAAAUGCCCGAUGGAGGGGGAUAACUACUGGACACGGUCUCUAAUACCGCAUACCCUCGGAUGUGCACAGAUGGGAUUAGCUAGUAGGUGGGGUAACGGCUCACCUGGGCGAAGAGCCGUACCUGGUCUGAGAGGAUGAUCAGUCACACUGUAACGGAGACACGGUCCAGACUCCUACGGGAGGCAGCAGUGUGGAAUAUUGGACAAUGGGCGAAAGCCUGAUCCAGCCAUGCCGCGUGGGUGAAGAAGGUCUUCGGAUUGUAAAGCACUUUAAGGUGGGAGGCGUUACCAAAAGAAUAAGCACCGGCUAACUCCGUGCCAGCAGCCGCGGUAAUUC